Molecule: ribosomal RNA, 490 nt
Filed under: uncultured bacterium
Lineage: Bacteria
Description: bacterial SSU rRNA
Rfam family: Bacterial small subunit ribosomal RNA
Source: RNAcentral
AGUGAACGCUGGCGGCAGGCCUAAUACAUGCAAGUCGAACGGCAGCACAGCAGAGCUUGCUCUGUGGGUGGCGAGUGGCGGACGGGUGAGGAAUACAUGGGAAUCUGCCCAGUCGUGGGGGAUAACGUAUGGAAACGUACGCUAAUACCGCAUGCGCCCUAAGGGGGAAAGCCGGGGACCGCAAGGCCUGGCGCGAUUGGAUGAGCCCAUGUUCGAUUAGCUAGUUGGCGGGGUAAAGGCCCACCAAGGCGACGAUCGAUAGCUGGUCUGAGAGGAUGAUCAGCCACACUGGAACUGAGACACGGUCCAGACUCCUACGGGAGGCAGCAGUAGGGAAUAUUGGACAAUGGGGGCAACCCUGAUCCAGCCAUGCCGCGUGAGUGAAGAAGGCCCUCGGGUUGUAAAGCUCUUUUGUCCGGAAGAAAGCAAUCGGUUAAUACCCGGUUGUUCUGACGGUACCGGAAGAAUAAGCACCGGCUAACUUCGUGCC